GUAGGGAAUAUUGCACAAUGGAGGAAACUCUGAUGCAGCGACGCCGCGUGAGUGAUGAAGGCCUUCGGGUCGUAAAACUCUGUGAUAAGGGAAGAUGAUGACGGUACCUUAUCAGAAAAGACCGGCUAACUUCGUGCCAGCAGCCGCGGUAAUACGAGGGGUCUAAGCGUUGUUCGGAAUCACUGGGCGUAAAGCGGGUGUAGGUGGCUAUGCAAGUUGGAUGUGAAAGCCCCGGGCUCAACCCGGGAAGUGCAUCCAAAACUACGUAGCUUGAGUGCGGGAGAGAAAGGCAGAAUUCCUGGUGUAGUGGUGAAAUACGUAGAUAUCAGGAGGAACUCCGGUGGCGAAGGCGGCCUUUUGGCCCAGCACUGACACUCAGACCCGAAAGCGUGGGUAGCAAACAGGAUUAGAAACCCUAGUAGUCC
RNAcentral lists this ribosomal RNA (425 nucleotides) under uncultured bacterium. Its description in RNAcentral is "partial 16S ribosomal RNA". It matches the Rfam family "Bacterial small subunit ribosomal RNA", at positions 354 to 796 of the family's 1533-position model. The record is from RNAcentral.